AACAAUGGCCAAUUCUCUGCAGCUCUCAUCUUCUACAGCAUCAAGUAUAUUUGACAAACAACCGGCAAAACUUACCCAACGUGAUGUGCUGAUCAUCGCACUCCUCUAGCAAUUGAUUAAACCUAUGCAUGAGGAGAGGAGCCAUGUAUAACCCCAACUAUAACCGCCACGCAAUAACUCACCUCUAGUUUCUUCACAGGCCUCUCCCCACUUCUUCAAGUGCUGCUGCCAUUGAUGCUGAGGCCUCCUCGAGUGUUCGUCUUUUCUGAACUGAGUUGAAAGCCUCCAGAAUAUCACCCACCUCAAAGUCAUCGAAAUCUUCAACCCCAAUACCACACUCCAGUCCCGCAUUAACCUCUUUCACAGUUUCCUUCACCCGUCUUAAAGAUUCGACCACACCAACAUGAACUGCUUUGCCUUUUCUAGUGACACGAACACCACAUUCUUCCACUACUUUUCCCUCUGUUACCAUGCAUCCAGCCCCGCAUUAACCUCUUUCACAGUUUCCUUCACCCGUCUUAAAGAUUCGACCACACCAACAUGAACUGCUUUGCCUUUUCUAGUGACACGAACACCACAUUCUUCCACUACUUUUCCCUCUGUUACCAUGCAUCCAGC
RNAcentral lists this unclassified non-coding RNA (618 nucleotides) under Hevea brasiliensis (rubber tree). Lineage: Eukaryota; Viridiplantae; Streptophyta; Magnoliopsida; Malpighiales; Euphorbiaceae. The record is from RNAcentral.